This is a long non-coding RNA of Haliotis rufescens (red abalone), 1566 nucleotides long. RefSeq lists it as uncharacterized. The record is from RefSeq and is a predicted model, not a curated record. The transcript has 2 exons. Lineage: Eukaryota; Metazoa; Mollusca; Gastropoda; Lepetellida; Haliotidae.
CUCCUGAAUAGCCGGGUCACUGUGACACGGCAUGCCGCACACCUACACGCCGUGCAGAUCCAUAGGCAAUCGACUUACUAUGACACUGCCGCUUAUCAAUGCAUUCUGGGAUGAGCUGGACUGCGGAGUAGUAGUUGUUUUGUUGUGGGCAAACACGUCCCGUGAGAGUAAUACACUCCAUACAACUGAGGUCACUCUGCUGCGCACAAUCAACAUGAAUUAUGCAUGCUAUAGUGAAAAGAGGUGUGCCUGUGUCGGUGCAACAACACGUCUCAUUGAGUAUUUUGAGAAGCGACGCUUUGUCCAUGUUGAAGUGAAGAGGUCUCAGCUCAUCAUCAACCGCAACGUGUCAGUGAAGAGACUACGGCAGUUUUUUGAAGGACUAUCCCGCAGCUACAUGCGCUGAAUUGUUUCCAUGAUGGGACAGAGACCAACUGUGUUGAUGACAUAGCCAGCAACCUACAUGUACAUAUAUCACCGACAUGUUCCCUCGUGUUCAAAAUACUGCUACUGAUUGUUGAAUGAUUUGUUUAUGACGCUCUACAAUCUAUUACAUAGCCCACAAUCAUACAGCGGCGUUAGAUAACAAACACACAUCAUAUCAUGUUACAACAGUUUGCCAUUGACUAACACCUGUCGUGUUGGCUGCCUGCACAAUGAGCCGUAUUGAAGCCAUUGGGAGGUGUAGUCCUGCCCUUUCUUCUUUCGACUUUUAUGAAAGGGUCAGCGCGAAUGACGUUCAAUACUAUCAGCUACACCCAAUGAACUGAUUUUAAUCUCUAUUCAUUUGUGCUUGCAACCCAACGCAUGGCCAACACAAGGAUUGAGAUCCGCCAGGAUAGUGGCAACGUGCCUUAAAGCACUUUUCAUAAUCAUGGACCACACAGAUUUGGGAUCCGCCAGGAUAGUGGCAACGUGACUUAAAACUCUUUUCAUAAUCAUGGACCACACAAGGAUCGGGAUCCGCCGGGAUAGUGGCAACGUGACUUAAAACUCUUUUUUAUAAUCAUGGACCACACAAGGAUCGAGAUCCGCCAGGAUAGUGGCAACGUGACUUAAAACUCUUUUUUAUAAUCAUGGACCACACAAGGAUCGAGAUCCGCCAGUAUAGUGGCAACGUGACUUAAAACUCUUUUUUUAUAAUCAUGGACCACACAAGGAUCGAGAUCCGCCAGGAUAGUGGUAACGUGACUUAAAACUCUUUUUAUAAUCAUGGACCAAACAAGGAUCGAGAUCCGCCAGGAUAGUGGCAACGUGACUUAAAACUCUUUUUUAUAAUCAUGGACCACACAAGGAUCGAGAUCCGCCAGGAUAGUGGCAACGUGACUUAAAACUCUCUUUUUAUAAUCAUGGACCACACAAGGAUCGAGAUCCGCCAGGAUAGUGGCAACGUGACUUAAAACUCUUUUUUAUAAUCAUGGACCACACAAGGAUCGAGAUCCGCCAGGAUAGUGGCAACGUAUCACUGAAAUCUCAUUAAGUUAAAUAUAUCAUGACCAUAUAAAAUAUGUGACGCCAUCCCAAGUUCGAGACAUCACUUGUCAUGACAUCAAUCAUUAGACUUUU